GCGCUAAGCGGGGAGAUAGCGGUGCCCUGUACCAGCAAUCCGCUACAGCUGGGCUGAAGGUCCCCCGAGGCGGCGCGCAUGGAAGGCAGGUUUCGGUAAGGAGCGUUGAUAUUAAGGUCUUAUGCAACGGGCGGUCGCGAACCGCGUCAGGAUAGGGAUAUAGCAGCGCUAAACGAUUUUUGCCCGUGUGCCAUAAGGAAGCUUUGAAGGAGCCGCCUGUCGGAAUAUCGCUUCGGUGUUCGCCGUCG
This 248-nucleotide signal recognition particle RNA is filed under the name human gut metagenome. RNAcentral's name for it is "Bacterial large signal recognition particle RNA". It matches the Rfam family "Bacterial large signal recognition particle RNA". From Rfam's summary of the family: The signal recognition particle (SRP) is a universally conserved ribonucleoprotein involved in the co-translational targeting of proteins to membranes. Archaeal SRP consists of a 7S RNA and homologues of the eukaryotic SRP19 and SRP54 proteins. In most bacteria, the SRP consists of a 4.5S RNA and the Ffh protein (a homologue of the eukaryotic SRP54 protein). The record is from RNAcentral.